Molecule: transfer RNA, 60 nt
Filed under: Oryx beisa
Lineage: Eukaryota; Metazoa; Chordata; Mammalia; Artiodactyla; Bovidae
Description: tRNA-Ser
Source: RNAcentral
GAAAAAGUACGCAGGAACUGCUAAUUCUAAGCCCCCAUGUCUAACAACAUGGCUUUUUCA